UGGGGAAUAUUGCACAAUGGAGGAAACUCUGAUGCAGCGACGCCGCGUGAGUGAAGAAGGUCUUCGGAUCGUAAAACUCUGUCCUUGGUGAAGAAAGAAAUGACGGUAGCCAAGGAGGAAGCCCCGGCUAACUACGUGCCAGCAGCCGCGGUAAUACGUAGGGGGCGAGCGUUGUCCGGAUUUACUGGGCGUAAAGGGUGAGUAGGCGGUAAUAUGUGUCAGAUGUAAAAGGCUAAGGCUUAACCAUAGUUAGCAUUUGAAACUGUAUUACUUGAGUGCAGGAGAGGUAAGCGGAAUUCCCAGUGUAGCGGUGAAAUGCGUAGAUAUUAGGAGGAACACCAGUGGCGAAGGCGGCUUACUGGACUGUAACUGACGCUGAGUCACGAAAGCGUGGGUAGCAAACAGGAUUAGAUACCCUGGUAGUCCACGCUGUAAACGAUGAGUGCUAGGUGUUGGGUAGCGAUAUUCAGUGCCGAAGUAAACACAAUAAGCACUCCGCCUGGGGAGUACGGUCGCAAGACUG
This 523-nucleotide ribosomal RNA is filed under the name uncultured bacterium. Its description in RNAcentral is "bacterial SSU rRNA". It matches the Rfam family "Bacterial small subunit ribosomal RNA", at positions 355 to 896 of the family's 1533-position model. The record is from RNAcentral.